RNAcentral lists this transfer RNA (77 nucleotides) under Clostridiaceae bacterium. RNAcentral describes it as "tRNA-Arg". It matches the Rfam family "tRNA". From Rfam's summary of the family: Transfer RNA (tRNA) molecules are approximately 80 nucleotides in length. Their secondary structure includes four short double-helical elements and three loops (D, anti-codon, and T loops). Lineage: Bacteria; Bacillati; Bacillota; Clostridia; Eubacteriales; Clostridiaceae. The record is from RNAcentral.
GUACCCGUAGCUUAGCUGGAUAGAGCAUCGGUUUGCGGAACCGAAGGUCACAAGUUCGAAUCUUGUCGGGUACGCCA